CUGGAUAGGAGGGCCUUGAUCCCACAAAANCUUAG
This 35-nucleotide transfer RNA is filed under the name Crotaphytus bicinctores. RNAcentral describes it as "partial tRNA-Asx". The record is from RNAcentral. Lineage: Eukaryota; Metazoa; Chordata; Lepidosauria; Squamata; Crotaphytidae.